GCCCAAUGGUCUUAAAGUCAAAAUAAACGAGAAUUAUUUAAUAAAACUAAAAGGACGCAGUAACCUUGACUGUGAUAAUGUAGCAUAAUCACUCGCCAUUUAAUUGAUGGAUAGUAUGAAUGGUUGAACGAAUAUUCCACUGUCUUAAAAAGAAAUAACAAAAAAUUAAAAUAAUAGUCAAGAUGCUAUUUAAAAUUGUAAGACGAAAAGACCCUAUAGAGCUUAACUAUAGUCUCUUUAAAAACCAAAAGAAUAAAAUAUUUAAGAAUAAAGAGAUUGGUAGUUUAGUUGGGACGACUAUCUUCUAAAAAUAACGAAGAGAAGCAAAGUUAAUAAAAAACUUAUUGUAUAAUAAAUAAAUUUAACAAUUACAAAAGUAGGUUAUAAUGACCCGUUAAACAAGUAUAAAAAACUUUAACGAUCAAUAAAUAAAAGCUACCUUAGGGAUAACAGGAUAAUUUCAUUUUAGAGAUCCAAUCGAAAAUGAAGUUUGUCACCUCUAUGUUGAAUUAAGAUAUCCUGAUAAUGCAGAAGUUAUCAAAGGUAGGUCU
Molecule: ribosomal RNA, 551 nt
Filed under: Clathrozoon wilsoni
Lineage: Eukaryota; Metazoa; Cnidaria; Hydrozoa; Leptothecata; Clathrozoidae
Description: partial 16S ribosomal RNA
Rfam family: Bacterial large subunit ribosomal RNA
Source: RNAcentral